UCUGGCACCAUUGUCAGGACACACGUUCCCGUAUGUUGUCAGGUCUGUGGCACAAAUUGGAAGUCAUACCUUUCUGGGUUCACAAAUGUUCUCGGAGUCAUUGCUUAAUGUGUACAGAGUUUCUGUUUGUGGUGAUGAAAAAUUUUGGAAAUAGAUCACAGACAAUGAUUGCACAACAUUGUGAAUGUCAUUAAUGCCACUGAAUUAGUAGUACACUUAAAAGUGACUAAAAUGGAAAAUUUUAUGGUACCCUAUACCACAAUUUUUAAAAAUAGUUUAAAAAUAUGGGGGAGGACACUUAUUCUAUCUUAUGGAAUGAAGUGUUGCCCAAUUCUAGAAUUGUAAAUAAAGCCAAUUGAGAUCUUUAAAUGUGUUGUAUUUUGACAGAUCUGGACACCGUGAAGGGGCCUUAAGGAGGCUGCUGACCGCAGGACCCCUUGAGGAACAGAGGAAAAGGCCCCACUAAUCACUUGAAGGGGCACUGUGCCUUCCUCACGGAGCCCCAAGAGUCGUGAGUCCCUCUCAAGUCUGAGUUCUGCUCUUUUUUCGCAUCUGUGCACCCUGAUCUAUGGCUUUUGGAACACCAAGGUGCUUCCCUGUCUAUAAGACCAACCUCUUCUGCUCAGCUCAUUGGAACACUUAAUCAAUCUAUUUUAUGGAAUGAAGCAUUGCCUGAUUCUAGAACUGCAAAUGAAGCCAACUGAGAUCCUUAAAGGAAAAAAUAGGCCUUCAGACAUUAUGUGCCCACAUUCUAAGGAAGAAAAAGGGAAGCACAGAGGAGCCAGAAAACUCUUAACAUUUCUGGAAGAUUCUGGAACAUUUUUGCCAAGAAAUAUAUUUGCAGCAGUGUCUGAGUGAAAGUUAGUAGCUCUAAGAGUUUAUGAACUUACUGUCUUCUAUUGUAAUCUUCUGGCAUUGAAUUUGUGCUUAUUUUGUUCCUUUCAGUAAAAAUAAGUUAUAAAAAAAAUAAUACAAAUGCUAUUCAUCAUGGGGAAAAAAUUACACACUGUGUUUCCAGGGAGCCCUGCUGUUUUCAUUUUAUUCCCUCCCAUUCCCUGUUGCCAACAAGAACAGCUCAGCUGUUCUCUGACAUAUAUAAGACAUCUGCUUGUACACAUCUGGAUACCAAAGGGGAUAGAUUUAAUUUUAGACCAUCUAACUGCUUUCAUCAGAGAAAGGACAGAAUUUAAGGGGGAAAAGAAAG
Microcebus murinus (gray mouse lemur) is the source of this 1204-nucleotide non-coding RNA. The record is from RefSeq and is a predicted model, not a curated record. Lineage: Eukaryota; Metazoa; Chordata; Mammalia; Primates; Cheirogaleidae.